This 253-nucleotide ribosomal RNA is filed under the name uncultured bacterium. Its description in RNAcentral is "partial 16S ribosomal RNA". It matches the Rfam family "Bacterial small subunit ribosomal RNA", at positions 524 to 776 of the family's 1533-position model. The record is from RNAcentral.
GACGGAGGGUGCUAGCGUUGUUCGGAAUUACUGGGCGUAAAGGGCGCGUAGGCGGCCUGUUAAGUCGGGUGUGAAAGCCCCGGGCUCAACCCGGGAAGUGCAUUCGAUACUGGCAGGCUUGAGUACGGGAGAGGGUCGCGGAAUUCCCGGUGUAGAGGUGAAAUUCGUAGAUAUCGGGAGGAACACCAGUGGCGAAGGCGGCGACCUGGACCGAUACUGACGCUGAGACACGAAAGCGUGGGGAGCAAACAGG